GGAUUAUUAAUAAAAUUAAAUGAUUUGGCGGUAUUUUAUCCUAAUAGGGGAAUUUGUUCUUUAAUCGAUAGUCCACGUUAAAUCUAACCUUAUUUAAAGUUUAUAUACCGUUGUUGUUAGGGUACUUUAAAUAAAUGUGAAGUGCCUGUGGAAAAAUUAUUUUAUUACUUCAAAUCAAGGUGUAGUAUAUGGUAGGGGUUGAAAUGAGUUACUUUGUUUAAAGAAUUGGAAAAUUAAGUUUAAAAUUUUAUUUGAGAUAGGAUUUAUUAGUAAAUUUUUUUUAAUAUGAUGAAUUGAAAUGGGCCCUAAAAUAUGUACAUAUCGCCCGUCACUCCAAUUUUGUUAUUGGAUAAGUCGUAACAAAGUAGAUGUAAGGGAACUUUAUCUAGAUUA
This 393-nucleotide ribosomal RNA is filed under the name Krusa mexicana. RNAcentral's name for it is "12S ribosomal RNA". Lineage: Eukaryota; Metazoa; Arthropoda; Arachnida; Opiliones; Sclerosomatidae. The record is from RNAcentral.